CCCUUAGAUGUUCUGGGCUGCACGCGCGCUACACUGAUGCAUGCAACGAGUUUUCGACCUUGCCUGAAAAGGUUGGGUAAUCUGUUUAACAUGUGUCGUGAUGGGGAUAGACCAUUGCAAUUAUUGAUCUUCAACGAGGAGUUCCUAGUAAGCGCGAGUCAUCAGCUCGUGCUGAUUAUGUCCCUGCCCUUUGUACACACCGCCCGUCGCUCCUACCGAUUGGGUGAUCCGGUGAAUGAUUCGGACUGACGUUGUACUAGCUACUAGUUCAAUGUUAGGAAGUUUUGUGAACCUAAUCACUUGGAGGAAGGAGAAGUCGUAACA
RNAcentral lists this ribosomal RNA (324 nucleotides) under uncultured eukaryote. RNAcentral describes it as "partial 18S ribosomal RNA". It matches the Rfam family "Eukaryotic small subunit ribosomal RNA", at positions 1470 to 1796 of the family's 1831-position model. The record is from RNAcentral.